Long non-coding RNA from Rhincodon typus (whale shark), 341 nucleotides. RefSeq lists it as uncharacterized. NCBI's taxonomy places the organism in Eukaryota, Metazoa, Chordata, Chondrichthyes, Orectolobiformes, Rhincodontidae. The record is from RefSeq and is a predicted model, not a curated record. The transcript has 3 exons.
UGCAUUUCUGUGGAGGUACGGGAAUGGUUUGAUCUGGAGAGUACGAUGUACCCCUGACGUCCCAAAGAGCUGACCUGGGCACCAUCAGAGGUAGCUGUAAAGAAAGAACAUUUAGUAAAUGUGUGAAACAUUCCUGAGCUUGAGACGAGAGCCGAUAAGAGUCGAUGGUUGACCUGGAACAAUUGCAGAAGAAGACGAAGAUAGUGACCAUCGACCAUAUCAGGCAGAUACACGGUGAAAAAGGUUCGGAACCAGCCUUUGUGCAGUCCAUGCUCACUGACCAAUGUCUCUAAAGGGAGUCCUGACAUGAGGAGUGUGUUUUAUUGUUCCCUUGCGUUGUG